UUAGCUGAUAAGGUACUAGUUAGCGUUGUUAUUGAGAAGUCAUGCUAACUAACACUAUCUAAAGUUAAAUCCAGAGAGAGGUCAAAGGGCCAGGAAGGGUGUAUUGACCUGUAACAAAUUGAUAUACAGAAUGUCCAUGUUAUUGCCCCAUAGUGAGAGAUAUAUAGAUGCAGAAGGCUUAAUGUGCAUCCUCCAGAAGGCACCAUAUUCCCUACAUAGCGCACUACAUUUGACCAGGGCCUAUGGGGAAGCAGACCUGGUAUCAGCUAAUAAGGUACACAGGUUUCCAUUCAGAAGUGGUAGCGAUAAUUAGCUAAGGGGCCAUGGUUCCAUGAAACCUGAUAUCCAGCUAGUCUCUCUAUGAAAACGGCCCAUGCUGCCUCUCUCUAGACCUGCUUCAGUCAAUCAGGAUGAGUUAUUGGGAGCACAAUACUAUGGGAUCGGGUGUCCAUCUCUUGAAUUAAAACAAUGUUUCAGGGGUUAUAUAACAUAUUCAAGGACUCCAUUAUAAUAUAUUCUGAUUUUUUUGUCCAUAUUAGGCCUGUAAUUGCUGUUAAAACAGAUCGAAGAUGUUUUAUGUAAUGUGCCUUAUAUUAGGCUACGUAUUCAACGACUCAAUUAUACGCUACACACAUGAACUAUAGGCAUAGGCCACAGGGGGUUGGUUGCACCUUAAUUGGGGAGGACGGGCUCAUUUUAAUGCUGGAGUGACAUCGGUGGAAUGCUAUCAAAUACAUAAACAAUGUGGUUUGAUGCCAUUCCAUUCGCUCAGUUCCAGAUGUUAUUAUGAGCUAUUCUCCCCUCAGCAGCCUCCACUGGCGUAGUCAGAUUUCCAUCUAAUUUCUGUUUGCAUUAGGCUAAACCCGUCGCUGUUACAGGAUGCGUUACUAUAUAUCGCCUACAUUUUCCGUUAUAUCUGCAUUUAAUUAUUCAAGGCCAACAGAUAUGAGAAGAUGGCAUGAGGUACCGUUAGGGACAGAUGGCAUGAGGUACCGUUAGGGACAGAUGGCAUGAGGUACCGUUAGGGACAGAUGGCAUGAGGUACCGUUAGGGGCAGAUCUACAUUUGGGACUAAAGUAUUGGAGGGUUGUAAAACCUUUAUGUUUUUACUUUGGGGAGGGGUUGUAUUUUUUUACUUUGGGGAGGGUUGUAUUUUUUUUACUUUGGGGAGGGUUGUAUUUUUUUUUACUUUGGGGAGGGGUUGUAUUUUUUUACUUUGGGGAGGGUUGUAUUUUUUUACUUUGGGGAGGGUUGUAUUUUUUUACUUUGGGGAGGGUUGUAUUUUUUUACUUUGGGGAGGGUUGUAUUUUUUUACUUUGGGGAGGGUUGUAUUUGUUUAUUGGGCAGAGGGGAGUGUGGUGCGUUUUUUCACUGGUUUACAUUCAGUCUUUUGCACGUUUUAUUAUAUAAUUUUGUUCCAUCAUAGACAAAUGUACUAAUAUUUUUACAUGCACCUCCCCUAUAUCAAGGUGUUCUGGUACUUCCCUUAUGCACUACGCUUUCAUUUACUAUACUACAGGUCAAUAUAGUCUGCCAGUCUAAAUAUCUAUUCUGCCCUCUCCACCAUUCAUAGAGACAAUAGUGGAUUGUUUGUCCAGGUCUGCAGUAGACUAACUAGCAAUCAUACCACGCAUAAAAGCAUUCCAAGCAGCAUCAAUUUUCAAUAUGAAUCCACAAGAACAAAUAGGAAUAGCUGAUAAGCAGCUGAGAGGCCGGUUCAUGGCAUGAAAAACACAUUUAAACAUGAGACACGCAACUAAAAAUGCUCCCCUAUUAAUCUUGUUCAGGGACAAUAUAAUUAUCCUACCUAGACAAGCCUACAACAUAACACAACAAUGCAAUGAAUAAUUGCAUUAUUGUUUUCAAGGGAGUACAAAUUUCUACUCUAGGAUGCAGUGAAAAUGUCAUUGAAAUAAUGGUGCAAAAGCCCUAUGAUUUGAAUGUUUAGAAAGGUCUAGAAAGGCACAGUAGGAGACCAGUCUGGCUGCAUUUUUACCUCUGAUAUUGAGAUGAGCUGGCUGUUGCAGAUCAUCAUUCUCCCAAGUCGUCCUAUAAUAGUGUGGCCACAAAUGCUCCCAGCAAGCCCAGUUUCGCGCUCUGCCUCCUCUACAAUCUGAGUGGCUAUUCCUUGUACUAUAGCCAAAAUAUGUAUCAUUUAACUUUUAAAAUGUAUGACCUUUUAUGUGUGCCAUCAACACAACCAGUCACAAUGUCAUAACCUGUCAUGUCUACUCCCUCUCUCCGGUGCCCAACAUCCUGGUUUACUAACCACUGGUAAUGGUAACUCAUCUUUACGCACACCUGCAUCUCAUCAUCAGUCACACCUGGACUUCAUUACUCCCUGAUUACUUACCCUUUUAUAUAGCACUCUUUUGUUAUCAGUUAUCAGCCAGUAUUGGUUAUGUUUCCUUGUCAGACGGUUCCUCUUGUUUUGUAUCGGUCUAUGUGGGUUCAUAUUAAACUCACUGAGUUCCCCUGCUUCCCGACUCCCUGUGUCGACGUUACAGAGCCAGCACCCCAGCCCAUCCAGCAGUCCACCCAGGUCAGCGAUGCCACCAAUCAAUCCCUUUCUGAGAAAUACUGGUGGCCCACUUUGGAGCAGGACUCUGCACACUAUGUCAACUCAUGUUCACUAUAUACUCAAUCUAGAUCUCCCCGGCACGCACCAGCAGGAAAACUCCUUCACAUUCCAGUGCCUCAGCAUCCCUGGUCUCAUUUGUCCAUUGCUUUCAUCACUAAUCUCCACUCUGAUGGUUUAGGACAGAUUCUCAAUCAUAUUGUUUCAUCCCUCUCUCUGGUCUCCCUACCGCUCUCCUGGUCGCUGAGGCACUGU
Molecule: long non-coding RNA, 2833 nt
Organism: Oncorhynchus tshawytscha (Chinook salmon)
Lineage: Eukaryota; Metazoa; Chordata; Actinopteri; Salmoniformes; Salmonidae
Source: Ensembl